Molecule: ribosomal RNA, 253 nt
Filed under: uncultured bacterium
Lineage: Bacteria
Description: partial 16S ribosomal RNA
Rfam family: Bacterial small subunit ribosomal RNA
Source: RNAcentral
UACGUAGGGUGCAAGCGUUGUCCGGAAUUAUUGGGCGUAAAGAGCUCGUAGGCGGUUCGUCGCGUCGGCUGUGAAAACCCGGAGCUCAACUCCGGGCCUGCAGUCGAUACGGGCGGACUUGAGUGUUGCAGGGGAGACUGGAAUUCCUGGUGUAGCGGUGAAAUGCGCAGAUAUCAGGAGGAACACCGGUGGCGAAGGCGGGUCUCUGGACCGAUACUGACGCUGAGGCGCGAAAGCGUGGGGAGCAAACAGG